GCCUUCGUGGUGUAAAGGUAGAACACUCGGCGCGUAUUCGAGAGGUCUAGGUUCGAAUCCUGGGGAGGGCA
This 71-nucleotide transfer RNA is filed under the name Stegodyphus mimosarum. It matches the Rfam family "tRNA". Rfam says of the family: Transfer RNA (tRNA) molecules are approximately 80 nucleotides in length. Their secondary structure includes four short double-helical elements and three loops (D, anti-codon, and T loops). Lineage: Eukaryota; Metazoa; Arthropoda; Arachnida; Araneae; Eresidae. The record is from Rfam by way of RNAcentral.